CAGUAGCCGCGGGAAUACAGAGGGUGCGAGCGUUAAUCGGAUUUACUGGGCGUAAAGCGUGCGUAGGCGGCUUUUUAAGUCGGAUGUGAAAUCCCUGAGCUUAACUUAGGAAUUGCAUUCGAUACUGGGAAGCUAGAGUAUGGGAGAGGAUGGUAGAAUUCCAGGUGUAGCGGUGAAAUGCGUAAAGAUCUGGAGGAAUACCGAUGGCGAAGGCAGCCAUCUGGCCUAAUACUGACGCUGAGGUACGAAAGCAUGGGGAGCAAACAGGAUUAGAGACCCCGGUAGUCCCUGUCUCUUAUAC
RNAcentral lists this ribosomal RNA (301 nucleotides) under uncultured bacterium. Its description in RNAcentral is "partial 16S ribosomal RNA". It matches the Rfam family "Bacterial small subunit ribosomal RNA", at positions 509 to 807 of the family's 1533-position model. The record is from RNAcentral.